AGUGAACGCUGGCGGUAGUCCUAACACAUGCAAGUCGAACGUCAGCACAGUAAGAGCUUGCUCUUACGGGUGGCGAGUGGCGGACGGGUGAGGAAUACAUCGGAAUCUACUUUUUCGUGGGGGAUAACGUAGGGAAACUUACGCUAAUACCGCAUACGCCCUACGAGUGAAAGCAGGUGAUCUUCGGACCUUGCGCGAUUGAAUGAGCCGAUGUCGGAUUAGCUAGUUGGCGGGGUAAAGGCCCACCAAGGCGACGAUCCGUAGCUGGUCUGAGAGGAUGAUCAGCCAAACUGGAACUGAGACACGGUCCAGACUCCUACGGGAGGCAGCAGUGGGGAAUAUUGGACAAUGGGCGCAAGCCUGAUCCAGCCAUACCGCGUGAGUGAAGAAGGCCUUCGGGUUGUAAAGCCCUUUUGUUGGGAAAGAAAAGCAGCAGGUUAAUACCCCGCUGUUCUGACGGUACCCAAAGAAUAAGCACCGGCUAACUUCGUG
This 492-nucleotide ribosomal RNA is filed under the name uncultured bacterium. Its description in RNAcentral is "partial 16S ribosomal RNA". It matches the Rfam family "Bacterial small subunit ribosomal RNA", at positions 29 to 507 of the family's 1533-position model. The record is from RNAcentral.